RNAcentral lists this ribosomal RNA (472 nucleotides) under uncultured bacterium. RNAcentral describes it as "bacterial SSU rRNA". It matches the Rfam family "Bacterial small subunit ribosomal RNA", at positions 355 to 825 of the family's 1533-position model. The record is from RNAcentral.
UGGGGAAUUUUGGACAAUGGGGGCAACCCUGAUCCAGCAAUGCCGCGUGAGUGAAGAAGGCCUUCGGGUUGUAAAGCUCUUUUGUCAGGGAAGAAACGGUAGUAGCGAAUAACUAUUACUAAUGACGGUACCUGAAGAAUAAGCACCGGCUAACUACGUGCCAGCAGCCGCGGUAAUACGUAGGGUGCAAGCGUUAAUCGGAAUUACUGGGCGUAAAGCGUGCGCAGGCGGUUUGGUAAGACAGAUGUGAAAUCCCCGGGCUUAACCUGGGAACUGCAUUUGUGACUGCCAGACUAGAGUGUAGCAGAGGGGGGUAGAAUUCCACGUGUAGCAGUGAAAUGCGUAGAUAUGUGGAGGAAUACCGAUGGCGAAGGCAGCCCCCUGGGCUAACACUGACGCUCAUGCACGAAAGCGUGGGGAGCAAACAGGAUUAGAUACCCCAGUAGUCCCUGAGCGGGCUGGCAAGGCGCAU